CCUACGGGAGGCAGCAGUGAGGAAUAUUGGACAAUGGGCGCAAGCCUGAUCCAGCCAUGCCGCGUGCAGGAAGACGCAUCUAUGGUGUGUAAACUGCUUUUGUACGGGAAGAAACACUCCUACGUGUAGGGGCUUGACGGUACCGUAAGAAUAAGGAUCGGCUAACUCCGUGCCAGCAGCCGCGGUAAUACGGAGGAUCCAAGCGUUAUCCGGAAUCAUUGGGUUUAAAGGGUCCGUAGGCGGUUUGAUAAGUCAGUGGUGAAAGCCCAUCGCUCAACGAUGGAACGGCCAUUGAUACUGUCAGACUUGAAUUGUUGGGAAGUAACUAGAAUAUGUAGUGUAGCGGUGAAAUGCUUAGAUAUUACAUGGAAUACCAAUUGCGAAGGCAGGUUACUAUCAACACAUUGACGCUGAUGGACGAAAGCGUGGGGAGCGAACAGGAUUAGAUACCCUGGUAGUCCACGCCGUAAACGAUGGAUACUAGCUGUUCGGGGCAACCUGAGUGGCUAAGCGAAAGUGAUAAGUAUCCACCUGGGGAAGUACGUUCGCAAGAUUGAAACUCAAUUGAAUUGAGGGCUUGAGGACGNGCGACGACGACGACGAGGAGGAGG
Molecule: ribosomal RNA, 611 nt
Filed under: uncultured bacterium
Lineage: Bacteria
Description: bacterial SSU rRNA
Rfam family: Bacterial small subunit ribosomal RNA
Source: RNAcentral